This 329-nucleotide ribosomal RNA is filed under the name uncultured eukaryote. RNAcentral's name for it is "partial 18S ribosomal RNA". It matches the Rfam family "Eukaryotic small subunit ribosomal RNA", at positions 1470 to 1796 of the family's 1831-position model. The record is from RNAcentral.
CCCUUAGAUGUUCUGGGCCGCACGCGCGCUACACUGAUGCAUUCCACGAGUCUAAAACCUGCUCUGAUAGGGGUGGGUAAUCUUUUGAAUGUGCAUCGUGAUUGGGAUAGAUGAUUGCAAUUUUUCAUCUUCAACGAGGAAUGCCUAGUAAACGCAAGUCAUCAGCUUGCAUUGAUUACGUCCCUGCCCUUUGUACACACCGCCCGUCGCUCCUACCGAUUGAAUGAUCCGAUGAAUAUCAUGGAUUGAGGAUGCAAGUAGGUUAGCCUAUCUUCAUCUUCGAGAAGUGAAGUAAAUCUUAUCAUUUAGAGGAAGGAGAAGUCGUAACA